GCCAGGCGUGGUGGUGCAUGCCUGUAGUCCCAACUACUUGGGAGGCUGAGGCUGGAGGAUUGAUUGAGUCCAGGAGUUCUAGGCUGUAGUGCACUAUGCCAAGUGGGUGUCCGUACUAAGUUUGGCAUCAAUAUGAUAAUCUCCUGGGAGUGGGGGACCACCAGGUUGCCUAAGGAAGGGUGAACUGGCCCAGGUCAGAAAUGGAGCAGGUCGCAGGGCGCGGUGGCUCAAGCCUGUAAUCCCAGCACUUU
RNAcentral lists this signal recognition particle RNA (251 nucleotides) under Saimiri boliviensis boliviensis (Bolivian squirrel monkey). RNAcentral describes it as "Metazoan signal recognition particle RNA (ENSSBOG00000011499.1)". It matches the Rfam family "Metazoan signal recognition particle RNA", at positions 1 to 248 of the family's 299-position model. Rfam says of the family: The signal recognition particle (SRP) is a universally conserved ribonucleoprotein. It is involved in the co-translational targeting of proteins to membranes. The eukaryotic SRP consists of a 300-nucleotide 7S RNA and six proteins: SRPs 72, 68, 54, 19, 14, and 9. Lineage: Eukaryota; Metazoa; Chordata; Mammalia; Primates; Cebidae. The record is from RNAcentral.